Molecule: ribosomal RNA, 429 nt
Filed under: Gemmatimonadota bacterium
Lineage: Bacteria; Pseudomonadati; Gemmatimonadota
Description: Gemmatimonadetes bacterium partial 16S ribosomal RNA
Rfam family: Bacterial small subunit ribosomal RNA
Source: RNAcentral
UAGGGAAUCUUCGGCAAUGGACGAAAGUCUGACCGAGCAACGCCGCGUGAGUGAAGAAGGUUUUCGGAUCGUAAAACUCUGUUGUUAGAGAAGAACAAGGACGUUAGUAACUGAACGUCCCCUGACGGUAUCUAACCAGAAAGCCACGGCUAACUACGUGCCAGCAGCCGCGGUAAUACGUAGGUGGCAAGCGUUGUCCGGAUUUAUUGGGCGUAAAGCGAGCGCAGGCGGUUUUUUAAGUCUGAUGUGAAAGCCCCCGGCUCAACCGGGGAGGGUCAUUGGAAACUGGGAGACUUGGGUGCAGAAGAGGAGGGUGGAAGUCCGUGUGUAGCGGUGAAAUGCGUAAAUAUAUGGAGGAACACCGGUGGCGAAGGCGGCUCUCUGGUCUGUAACUGACACUGCGGCUCAAAAGCGUGGGGAGCAAACAGG